GUCAUUCUGAAAAACUCACGAGUACCUGUUGUCAGGACAUGUCCAGGACGGCAGGGUUGUUGUCAAUUUAUGUGACCUUGUGAAGCCUUGGAACAAACUCUCCCGAGUUCAAAAGGUGUCCCUCAGCAUGUAUCAGAGAGGCUGUGUCUGUGAGAUCUCACCUUGUACUGGAGCAUCCUGUUUGAUUGAGAUUCUUCA
Cyprinus carpio (common carp) is the source of this 198-nucleotide long non-coding RNA. RefSeq lists it as uncharacterized. The transcript has 3 exons. NCBI's taxonomy places the organism in Eukaryota, Metazoa, Chordata, Actinopteri, Cypriniformes, Cyprinidae. The record is from RefSeq and is a predicted model, not a curated record.